This is a transfer RNA of 72 nucleotides. It matches the Rfam family "tRNA". From Rfam's summary of the family: Transfer RNA (tRNA) molecules are approximately 80 nucleotides in length. Their secondary structure includes four short double-helical elements and three loops (D, anti-codon, and T loops).
GGGUCUGUGGUCUAGUGGUAUGACGUCGCCUUGACGUGGCGAAGGUCGCCGGUUCGAUCCCGGCCAGACCCA